UGGAGUGUUGUAGCGCGAGCGACAGCGACGCCGACAGCCUCACGGCCGGCCCCGAGUACGAAGACGCCGUGUCAGACUAUGAGGAUAGCACUGUAGAGGACGGGCCUCUAUGGUAAGUGUCUUAUAACCAUGUUGUAGCGCGAGCGACAGCGACGCCGACAGCCUCACGGCCGGCCCCGAGUACGAAGACGCCGUGUCAGACUAUGAGGAUGGCACUGUAGAGGACGGGCCUCUGUGGUAAGUGUCUUAUAACCAUGUUGUAGCGCGAGCGACAGCGACGCCGACAGCCUCACGGCGGGCCCCGAGUACGAAGACGCCAUGUCAGACUAUGAGGAUAGCACUGUAGAGGACGGGCCUCU
Molecule: long non-coding RNA, 359 nt
Organism: Cydia splendana
Lineage: Eukaryota; Metazoa; Arthropoda; Insecta; Lepidoptera; Tortricidae
Exons: 3
Source: RefSeq, a predicted model, not a curated record